GGGUCAGUAGGUUGGUCGUGCCACCGGUACGUACUGGCCUCACUGAUUCCUCCUUCCUGAAGAACCGUAAUGCCAUUAAUUUGGUGUUGCGGGGAAACAAGACUGUUACUUUGAAAAAAUUAGAGUGUUUAAAGCAAGCUAACGCUUGAAUACAUUAGCAUGGAAUAAUGAAAUAGGACGAUCGAUCCUAUUUUGUUGGUUUCUAGGAUUGACGUA
RNAcentral lists this ribosomal RNA (216 nucleotides) under Glomeromycotina sp. RNAcentral describes it as "partial small subunit ribosomal RNA". The stretch from base 40 to 216 matches the Rfam family "Eukaryotic small subunit ribosomal RNA", at positions 686 to 864 of the family's 1831-position model. The record is from RNAcentral. Lineage: Eukaryota; Fungi; Glomeromycota.